GCCUUCUUAGCUCAGAGGUAGAGCGUUCCACUCGUACAUCAAUAUUGAUAGGUAUUGCAUGGAAAGGUCGCUAGUUCAAGUCUGGUAGGAGGCA
This is a non-coding RNA of Gymnopus androsaceus JB14, 94 nucleotides long. The record is from the annotation of a GenBank genome assembly. NCBI's taxonomy places the organism in Eukaryota, Fungi, Basidiomycota, Agaricomycetes, Agaricales, Omphalotaceae.